RNAcentral lists this ribosomal RNA (468 nucleotides) under uncultured bacterium. RNAcentral's name for it is "partial 16S ribosomal RNA". It matches the Rfam family "Bacterial small subunit ribosomal RNA", at positions 28 to 507 of the family's 1533-position model. The record is from RNAcentral.
GACGAACGCUGGCGGCGUGCUUAACACAUGCAAGUCGAACGGAAAGGCCCUGCUUUUGUGGGGUGCUCGAGUGGCGAACGGGUGAGUAACACGUGAGUAACCUGCCCUUGACUUUGGGAUAACUUCAGGCAACUGGGGCUAAUACCGGAUAGGAGCUCCUGCUGCAUGGGGGGGGUUGGAAAGUUUCGGCGGUUGGGGAUGGACUCGCGGCUUAUCAGCUUGUUGGUGGGGUAGUGGCUUACCAAGGCUUUGACGGGUAGCCGGCCUGAGAGGGUGACCGGCCACAUUGGGACUGAGAUACGGCCCAGACUCCUACGGGAGGCAGCAGUGGGGAAUAUUGCACAAUGGGCGGAAGCCUGAUGCAGCAACGCCGCGUGCGGGAUGACGGCCUUCGGGUUGUAAACCGCUUUCGCCUGUGACGAAGCGUGAGUGACGGUAAUGGGUAAAGAAGCACCGGCUAACUACGUG